GGGAAUAUUGGACAAUGGAGCGAAAGCCUGACCCAGCCACUGCCGCGUGUGUGAAGAAGGUCUUCGGAUCGUAAAGCACUUUAAGUAGGGAGGAACGGCAGUAAGUCAAUACCUUCCUGUCUUGACGUGACCGACAGAAUAAGCACCGGCUUAACUCUGUGCCAGCAACCGCGGUAAUACAGAGGGUGCAAGCGUUAGUCGGAAUUACUGGGCGUUAAGCGCGCCUAAGUGGUUUGCUAAGUUGUAUGUUAAAGCCCCCGGCUCCACCUGGGAACGGUCUCCGAAACUGGCGAACUAUAAUACCGUAAAAGGUGAUGGAAUUUCCUCGUGUAGCGGUGAAAUGCGUAGAUAUAGUGAAGAACACCAGUGGCGAAAGGGAACACCUGGGACUGAUACUGACACCGAAGUACCAAAGCCUGGGGAACCAACAAGAAUAAAUACCCCUGGUAGUCCACGCCGUAAACGAUGUCAAGUAACCUGUGGAAUCCUUGACAUCCUAUAUKGCGCAACUAACGCAUUAAAUCGACCGGCUGGGGAAUACCGGCSCAAAGAUAGAACUCCAAUGAAUUGAACGGGGCCCCCACAAACCGGGGAACAUGUUGUUUAAUUCCAAACAACGCCAAAAACCCUAACAAGGCUUUAAAUUCCUAUAACUUUCCAAAAAAUGAUAGGUGCCCUCCGGAACUCUAACACAAGUGCUGGAUUGCUGUCCUCAACUCCUGUUCUGAAAAGUUGGGUUAAAUCCCCUAACGAACGCCAACCUUGUACCUAAUUACCAACACUUCAUGGUGGGCACUCUAAGGAAACUGCCGGUAACAAACCGAAGAAAGGUGGGGAUAACUUCAAUUCAUCAUGGCCCUAACAGCCUGGGUUACACACUUGCUACAAGGGUCGAUACAAAGGGUUGCCAACCCGCAAGGUAGAGCUAAUCUCACAAAUCUAUCAUAUUCCGAAUCGAAGUCUGAAACUCAAUUGCUUAAACUCGAAAUCGUUAUUAAUCGCGAAUCACAAUGUCGCGGUAAUUACUUCCCCGGG
RNAcentral lists this ribosomal RNA (1035 nucleotides) under gamma proteobacterium 46CAL. RNAcentral's name for it is "bacterial SSU rRNA". It matches the Rfam family "Bacterial small subunit ribosomal RNA", at positions 357 to 1378 of the family's 1533-position model. Lineage: Bacteria; Pseudomonadati; Pseudomonadota; Gammaproteobacteria. The record is from RNAcentral.